This 301-nucleotide ribosomal RNA is filed under the name uncultured bacterium. RNAcentral describes it as "partial 16S ribosomal RNA". It matches the Rfam family "Bacterial small subunit ribosomal RNA", at positions 509 to 807 of the family's 1533-position model. The record is from RNAcentral.
CAGUAGCCGCGGUAAUACGUAGGGUGCAAGCGUUAAUCGGAAUUACUGGGCGUAAAGCGUGCGCAGGCGGUGUUGUAAGACUGAUGUGAAAUCCCCGGGCUCAACCUGGGAACUGCAUUGGUGACUGCAACGCCGGAGUGCGGCAGAGGGGGAUGGAAUUCCGCGUGUAGCAGUGAAAUGCGUAGAUAUGCGGAGGAACACCGGUGGCGAAGGCAAUCCCCUGGGCCUGCACUGACGCUCAUGCACGAAAGCGUGGGGAGCAAACAGGAUUAGAUACCCCCGUAGUCCCUGUCUCUUAUAC